RNAcentral lists this ribosomal RNA (499 nucleotides) under uncultured bacterium. RNAcentral describes it as "partial 16S ribosomal RNA". It matches the Rfam family "Bacterial small subunit ribosomal RNA", at positions 899 to 1397 of the family's 1533-position model. The record is from RNAcentral.
ACUCAAAUGAAUAGACGGGGGCCCGCACAAGCGGUGGAGCAUGUGGUUCAAUUCGACGCAACGCGAAGAACCUUACCUGGGCUCGAACGGCAUUGGAUCAGCGAUAGAAAUAUUGCCUUCUCGCAAGAGACCGGUGUCGAGGUGCUGCAUGGCUGUCGUCAGCUCGUGUCGUGAGAUGUUGGGUUAAGUCCCGCAACGAGCGCAACCCUUGUCCUGUGUUGCCAUCAUUUAGUUGGGCACUCUCAGGAGACCGCCAGCGAUAAGUUGGAGGAAGGUGGGGAUGAUGUCAAGUCAUCAUGGCCUUUAUGUCCAGGGCUACACACGUGCUACAAUGGGCGGUACAAAGCGCUGCAAACCCGCGAGGGGGAGCCAAUCGCAAAAAACCGUCCUCAGUUCGGAUCGCAGGCUGCAACUCGCCUGCGUGAAGCUGGAAUCGCUAGUAAUGGUGUAUCAGAAUGAUACCGUGAAUACGUUCCCGGGCCUUGCACACACCGCCCGU